GCGGGUGUAGCUCAAUGGUAGAGCAAUAGCCUUCCAAGCUGAAGACGGGGGUUCGAUUCCCCUCACCCGCUCCA
Molecule: transfer RNA, 74 nt
Filed under: Pseudomonadota bacterium
Lineage: Bacteria; Pseudomonadati; Pseudomonadota
Also listed under: 1 other name
Description: tRNA-Gly
Rfam family: tRNA
About the family: Transfer RNA (tRNA) molecules are approximately 80 nucleotides in length.
Source: RNAcentral